CUAUCUGCAAACCUGAGAGGUGGAAGGUGAAUCCAGGCCAGAAUGGAAGGCCAGCCGGACAGUACCAAGCAGGAGGGAUGGGUGAUAGACAACAAUAAGAUCAGCACAGAAGACUCAGUUUCUCCUGAGGCCUCAGAAGGAACAGUCGCUGAGUUGGUCCAGAACAUUGUGCCUUCCACCUCUGCUAUACAGGCCAGUGAAGAGCAGCCUGCAUCUGAAACUAACUCUACCAACAUCCAUGGUUUGGACAUUCAUGGUGUAGAAGACAGCGUAGUUACAAGCCAAGACAGUGCCGGGGAUUCUCUGUCUCUUAAACUUGACUGUACCCCAGAGAAGGGAGGUGACAUGAUGCCAAGAAGGGAUUCUAGUGGACAUCCAGAAAAUGAUAUGUUUGCAGAAGGACAUGUCAAACCUACUGCUAACAGGGAGAGCUCUUGUUCAGAUAAUAUAAACAGUGUACCCAUAGAUGGAAAGAGGCAUCCUGCAACUGAUCCUAACCACAUAAGUGAACAAAUAACAGACUUGAAAGACUUGAGCAAAACAGAAAGCUUGAUGGCAAGCGAUCAAAAGAAAUCUGAUAAAGCUAGUCUGGAGCCUGUCCCAGCAAAACACACAUCAGAGACUGAAGGGGCUAAACCAGGGGAUCGUUCUGUAAACAGUACAGAGGAAACUGAUUUAGGAACAGAUACCACGGUGAUCCCAGAGCCAAUUUCAGAGACUAUAACAGUACAGUCUUCUGUUAGUCCGAAGGAAAAUGUGACACGUCUUACAGAUCCUGCAACAGACUGCCAGGAAAGUAUACAUGAUGUAGCAACAACUGAAGAGGUCACAGAAUCAAAUAUAAGUGAUCAGGACAAUAGUGUCAAGCUGACCUCAGUGCAGAAGAGCGCAGCUGAAGAAAACAUGAGUGUGAAAGAAAGCUGUGGAGCCACAGGAGGUAACAUGCAAAUUGUAAGGUCAAGCAACGAAGAUACAACAAGUGCUACAGAACAAGUAGGAAGCCACAAUUCUGUGAAAGGAAAUGGUAUAGGGCACGAUGUGUCUGGGGAAGAUUACAAUGAAACCAGUGGCACUCUACAGGCAGAGUCUUCACUACAGGAUAAAUCAAUCAACCAACAGGAAGAAAAUAUAUCCACUUGCAAGGAGUGCCCAGAAGAACUUGAAGUUCCUUGUCAGUCUGAGAAUGGCAAGUCAAACGCUGGGCAAAAUGAUCUGCAGAUGUCUGGGGGAGAAACACCAAUGAUAUACACAGAAAAGGACAUGACAGAAGAAGACCUCGCCGACAUCUCGGAGUUUGACUCCACAACAGAAAACGUUCCAGAAAACGUGACCUUGAACUCUGCGACUGAACUGGAAGCUUCUGAAGGACAGAUGGAUAGUCUGACUUUUGAGACGGGUGCAGAAGACGGGGACCCAGAUUCAUCUCAGUCAUCGCUGGAGGCCCCGACCUGUCAUCUGGACCUGGGCCUUCCUACCUUAGAGAUGCCACUAGGGGAGAACCGCAUCAGUAUGUAUAGUGAUGGGGAUGAUAGCCAACCUUCGGGGAAGAAGAUCAGACAAGAAGAUGAACUUGACAAAGAUGCAGUUUCAAAUAGAAAGGACAACAUCAAAGACAAGAAAGAAGAGUCUAGAUGUGGAGAAAAGGAAGUAGAAGCUCUUGCUGUAGACACUUUACCAGCUUCUAGUACAGAGGGUCCAAUGAAAGAUAUAAACCUGAAUUUUGGGACAUUUCCUGGUGUGGACUGUACAGUAGGUCAGUCAUCGGGAGAACACUUCUUAACAGAGAAAGGAUCUUGUAAUUCAAAUACACUCACACCAUCUGAUACAAAUGAAAACAGAAUUGAGGACAGCUUGUGCACACUUUCAGCUGAAGACAUUGUAUGUCCCUUAGAUUUGACAACAGCCUUGAAUGGUACCAAAGAAGUAACUGAACAAGAAGCAAGAUCAGCAGCGAGGGCUUAUGUGGGGAGAUCAAUGUGGGAUGCUGUGAAACCAACAGAGAACAUUCAGCACAAGACAGAACCUGUGUUCCCACCCAAGCCAGCGGACACAAAAAUCCUCCAGUUCUGGAAAAAGACAUUCCAGUGUAAGUACUGCAGCUACCAUGCCCAAAGUCAAGCUGCCAUCAAGCACCACACUCAGGAAAAACAUACCAAGAAACACACAGAGGAAAAGAAGGGAAAGGAACUGCCUCGGAAGAAAGAUGAGAUGGAAACUAGAGAGCAGGUGCAAAAUCCUGCCGGACAGGACCAGGCAUUUCUGUCACUUGUGAUUCCCAGUGUGAAGAAACAAGAAACACUCUCUGAAGAGAACAAGGGUGAAGAAGAUUUUCCCUGUACUUUCUGUUCAUACAAGGCUAAAGACAAGUCAACUCUCAUGUCUCACAUUGAGGUUCACUACGCAGGGUUUGCCUACAAGUGUAACCACUGUGGCUUCCUGUCACCCACACAGGAACAAGCACUGCACCACUUUGACUCCAUCUGUGAGAGCAAACCCAAGGACAAGACAAGCAGUCCUAGGAAGAAAAAACGCACAAAAGAGGCAUCACCAAGCAAGGGACAAAAACGUCUCAACAGCAAGAAUAAGCCAGGUUCUCCUGAAAAAGACGCUGACAGCAAGAAUAGUAAGAAUAAGCCAGUCCCCGCUGAAAAGGACGAAAGCGCACAAGCUCAAGACAUGAGUGGAGAUGUAUCUGAUGACUCUGACAUCAUCACCAUCCUGCAAGAGCCUCCCAAGUACUCCUACCAGUGUCCACACUGCCCUUUCACCGUGACUGGCAAGGCUAAACUAAACCUGCACAUAGCAGGACACUCGAAGCAGGACGGCCACAAGUGCACCCUGUGUAACUUCCGGGUCACCUCUGAAGCAAAACUGUCCAAGCACCUCAGGGUUCACCAGAUGAUUGGACGGUUCAAGUGCAAGCACUGUCGCUUCUGGUCCAUCUACAAGGACAGGGUGAAACUGCACCUACAGACGGAGUGCAAGCUGAAGGGGACUGGGAAGGGACGUAAGAGUGUUGUAAAGGUAGAACAGAAGGAGGCAGUGAACACGUGGACAUCAAGGGAAGAUGAGACCAACUCAGAUAUUGUCUCCAUGGUAAAGGAUCCAAACCAGUACCCCCACAGGUGCCCCCACUGUCCGUUUUCCUCGGCCUCUCCCACCCAGAUAGAGAGCCACAUUUCGCAGCACUUUCGUGAGGAGGGUGCUCAGUGUGACGAGUGCACCUUCUGGGCCAUCAGUGACGGCAUGCUGAGGAAACACAAGCGGGUGCACCAGAAGUUGGGCAAGUACAAGUGCAAGCAUUGCGCCUACUGGGUCCCUGGGUACAGGGAGAAAAGUGCUAACCCAUCUGGAAAAGUGCAAGCACAACCCAGGAAGGACUGCAACAGAAGAGGAAACUGUGGAGCCUGACAACACAGCAAAGGAGAAAGCAGAAAACAAAGCUAAACGAGAGUCUUACUCGAGGUGGGACGACAGUGAGGAUGAAGACAUUGUGGUCAAAGUGAAGAAGUCGCUACGUACUGGGCACAAGUGCCCCCAUUGCCCCUUUGUUGCCUCCAACAUUGGAAAGCUGUCCAUCCAUCUUCCAAAUCAUGACAGAACAGACGGUGUCAAGUGUCCCAAGUGUACCUUUAGAGCUGGCAGUGAGCAGCUACUGGGCUUUCACAAGAGGGUGCAUCAAAGGGGUGUGAGGACCUAUCACUGCACCCACUGUACCUUCUGGUCAUGGUACAAGGACAGGGUGCAGAAACACCUGGAGAAAGGCUGUCCACAGAAGAAAGCAGAGAACCCUAGCAGCAACGAGGAAAAGAAUUCAGUGAAAAGGCCAAAGAAGAGCCUGACACCAAAUCAGCUAAAAAGGAGUCUGACCUUGAUGAAGAACUGUCUACAUCACGGGUAGCAACAGAUGAUCAUCUUGCAGAGCUUACAGAGGAGACAACCAGCUCCUUGGGGAAAAGGCCUCUGAAGAGAUAAAGGGGGAGGAAGAGAUGGCUGGAGAAGAAUUUACUAGUAGCCCAAACCUGGACGACCACAUCAUCAUGAUAGAACAGGAAGCAGAGGCGAGGUACGGCCUGAAGUGUCCCCACUGUCCUCUGACAACGGCCAGCACUGACUGCUACCAGCAGCACCUGGCCAGGCACGAAUUAAAGGAGGGCAUCAAGUGUGACCAGUGCUCCUUCAGGGCACUCACGACAGGCAGGCUGCAGGUACACAAGAAGGUCCACGCUAAGAAGUACAUGUACCAGUGCAAGCACUGCGUUUUCAUUGCUGACAACAAGUUUGAAGUUGCGCAGCACCUGGGACAUUGUGUGCAGAAAAUCAAACGAGAUCAAGAGGCCAGAGAAAGGAAGGAGUCGGAUGAAGUUGUGGUGAGCAGAGGCAUCAGGCAGUACAGUAUGAACUGCCCCCACUGCCCCUACACCACCGGUAACUCCAGGUGUAUGAAGGCCCACCAGCAGAGGCACAUGAACCAGGAUGGCAUCCAGUGUGAACGCUGCUCCUCAAUGCCCUGAGCCCGGGAAAGAUGGCCAAACACAUGAAGGUGCACCAGACAGGAGAAGGGUUCAAAUGCAAGUACUGCAUGUUCUUCUCCUCCUACCGCAGCCAUGUGCUGCAGCAUUUGAGACUCUGCAGGAACAGGGCAAGCCAGACAAAGAAGGAAGCAAAGGGUGGCAAGGAGGCUGAAACACCAGAAGAAAAGGCAGAAGACCUUUCAACCAAGUCAGAAUCUCUACAUGAUGGUGUGGAGAAAGACGAUAUUGGUCCAUGCAGUGAAAUAGAGAUUCUCAAGCCAGAGAAAACAAGCAACUAUAAACACAACUGUUCGUACUGUCCUCACAUGGCCUUGUCACCUGCAAGUUUGGAACCGCACAUACAACGGCACUUUGUCAACGAGGGUCCCAAGUGCAAGUUCUGCACGUACAGAGCGCUGAGUGCCAGUGGGUUGUACGGCCAUGAACGUCUGCACUGGAGAGGCUGCUUCAAGUGUAAAUACUGUGCGUACUUGGCACCACACCGCAGGAGGGUCCUGGAGCAUCGUGGAAGAAUGUCCGGGUCGACGUAUUCUGUCUGUGUCCAUUCAAGAUCCCAAAGAAGAAACCGACAAAAGACAUGACUGUUUCAGCCGUAAAUACAGACACUGUCAGUCAGACAGAGGAAGGAAAGGGACAGAAGAGGAAGGAUCCUGUAGAGGUGUCAGACAGAGAUGUUGUGAUUGCUUAUAGGAAACAGACAGGCAAGCAGCACAAGUGUCCACACUGUCCUUAUUCAGCCUCAGGGCCAGCCCUUCUGGAGCCGCACGUGGUGAGGCACUCGGACACAGGGAGUGGCUUCAAGUGUGACCUGUGCAACUACAGGGCAGCAAGCUUCGGAUGGCUCAACAACCACAGGAAGGUGCACCAAGACGGGUACUACUAUAAGUGCAAUUAUUGCGCUUAUUGGUCCCCUGUCAAGGAUGAGGUACUGUCACAUGUGGCUAGGAAACACCACAUGGGUUCUGAAUCUGAAGAAAAGAAAAUGAAGGUGGAUGGACCAUUGUCUGUGGAAGCAGCAGCUGUUGCUAGUCAAGUUCCUAGUAAUGCAGGAAGGGCAGCAGCUCCAAGCCUCAUGGACACUGUAAAACGGCUGGGACAGGCACUCCGCUCUUCUCCUGUACCCAUGGCUUUUGAAGCCCAGACGAAAAAUGACGGGAGUGCAGUGUUAUUGUCGCAGGACAAGACAGCUCAAGAAGCACUCAAGAGGAAAGAAGGUGGAGACAGAAACCUUGUGAUGACCCUGAGGAAGAGAAAGACAGAAAAUGGUGAGGCAGUUUGGCAGGCAGAGGAAAACAAAGUUUGCCCUUACAACGAAUGCAAGAAGAGGUUUGAGUCAGCCAGUGCCUUUGUAACUCAUCUUGCAGAGCACUCAGGGACGGCACAGACACCGAACACAAGUGGGCAGCUACCACAGCCUACCCAGCAGCCCUCUGUACAGUCCGUCCAGCAGCUGUUCACUUCUAAACCUUCCCACGCAGCCACCUUCCCAGCAUUCCAAGCAAGUACCUACCCAGCAUUCCCAGCAGCCACCUCUUCAGCAGCCAUCCGAGCAGCCACCUCCACAGCUACCUUCCCAGCAGCCACCUCCCCAGCUACCUUCCCAGCAGCCACCUUCCCAGCUACCUUCCCAGCAGCCACCUCCCCCCUUGCCGCAGCAGCAACAGCAGCUGGCCCUGUUCCAGCCGCAGCAGACCCUCCUGCAGCAGCAGCCACGCCCUCUGACCUCAGUACAACUGAUGACCCCUAACCCUACCAUGCCUGCAGGCUUAGUCAGGCCUCCUGCAAACGUCGGUGCCAACCAGCAGUCAGUGCUGAGCCAGGGGCAGGCGGUCAACCCACAGAACAGGCAGGUGUUCUUGGUGAGUGGACUGCAGCAGAACCUGGGAGGUUUUGCCCUCUUUGUUCCAUACACAUCAGGUGCACAGCCAGCCCCACAAACAGCAGGUGGGAGUGUGGUCACAUCAGUAGUCCAGAGGCCUCACCCAACACAGGCCAGCACCGUGCCACAGAGCACAGUGGGUAGUCCAAACUUCCCCUCGCCACAAGCACUCACUGCUCAGGCCACUUCCAGGCCACCUGAUAUAGAACACAAGUUUGACCUGUCCAACCACGUGACUCAGACAUGGAGGGGAGACUUCCUGUGCAAGUACUGCAGCUACACUACCCAGCACUGUAACAUCAUAUCCAGGCAUGUCAGAAGGCAUCUACGUGUGUCUGGUAAAGAUGAAGAGAACACCCAAGGAACCCAGGAUUCUACAGGAAGCAGUCAACAGUAAACAACCAGUACUCCAUCCAGCGAUGGGCAUCUGUUGGCUUCACCUCCAUAUGCCACCUCCACCACUCCUCCCACUCCCUCCCAGCCACCCUUUAAUGUGUCCCAGCACAUCACUGAGGACUGGAGAAGUGGCGUGUUCAGCUGCAACUAUUGCCCGUUCUCCACCACAGCCAAGAACAUCCUGUCCAGGCAUGUGAAGAAACACUUGCCACAGGGAGCGGCAGGUAGCAGGGGAACUCCUGAUAGCGUCGGCACCCCUGUAGGGCCACAGGAGGCGGAGGGGCAGGCAGGGGCAGCCGAGGCAGAGAGCAGUGGAGCAGGGAGUACAGAGACCUUUGACUUGUCCAAGCACGCCACCCAGACAUGGAGAGGUGACUUCACCUGUAACCACUGUGGCUACGUGGCACAGUUUAAACAGAUCAUGUCCAGACAUGUCAAGCAGCAUCUACAUCCUGGCAAGUCUCCUAAACGUGCUGUGGCUGCUAAGGCUUAACCUUGACAGACCACAUCCAAGUGUUGAACAUCGGACAGCAGUGUGUGUACCUGUGCAAGUACUGUGACUACCAAGCUGCUUUUAAGAGUCAUGUUUCACGGCACGUGAAGAAGCAUCUAGCACUGGGGGUGUCAGAGACUGCAGCACAGCCGAGUGUGUCUGUCAGCCCGGCAGCCAGCGCGGCGCAGAGUCAACAGGAAGUGCCUGUCGUACCGGAGACCACCAGCAGCAGUGGUGGCAGCCGUGGAGCUUCUCCUGGUAACCCUGGCUGUGCCGCCAGCCCCCCUCCCGACGGUAACAUGACCGGGGUGGAUGUGGAGGGACGAUGGUGGACCACCAAGUUCAGGUGCAAACACUGCAGCUUCUCCACCAGGUACAAGCAUCAGAUCGAGGAACACAUGCAGACCCACUCUCCUGCUAAGACAGAGCAGGGGCAGCAAGUCUCUCCGGGCACGACAGAGGACAAGAUAACAACUCCUCCACCUCCGUGUCCCAACCUCAGUCCACCUGUACAAACUGUCCCAAGCUCUCCAUCAAGUGGUGGUGUUGUUAGCUCUUCAGCAAACGCAGUGGUUAGCUCUGCUUCAAGCACUGUAACCAGCCCCCCACCCUCCCCCCACCCCCACGCAGUAGUGGUCAGCCCCCCUCCCCUCCCCAGCAGUCCUCCCUCAGGCCUGCCAGCGAGCAGCCGUGCACCUGGGGCUGUUGUGGAUACCAGCGGGAGGGUCUCAUUGACUAGCGGUAGACGCUUUGUCUUCUACCAGUGCAAGUUUUGUCAGUUCACCGGCCAUCGCAAGGAAGAAAUCAUAAAACAUGCCACAGAUGUCCAUCCUGGUGAGACCCCGCCUCUAACCAACCAGGGCACGCCGUACAAGUGCCGUCUGUGUCACUACUACACUCAGAGUAACGCGGCCUUGCAGGUCCACAUGAAGAGGCAUGACAACAGGGACUUCCCCUACAUCUGCACUCACUGUAAGUUUGCCGGGGCCUCUCGGGCAGACCUGGAGGAGCACUCCCGUAAACACAUCACCAUGGGCCGGGGGUCGGGCCGCAUCAGGAACGUCUACUUCACCAUCUUCAAGUGCCCGUACUGCACCUUCACCAGCCGCGUGUCCACGCUCAUGCAGGGCCACCUCACCACCUGGCACUCCACCAACACCAUCUUCCGCUUCUGCUUCAAGUGUGACCUGGAGUUCUCCAACCACGAGGACAUGGACAGGCACAUGCUGCUGUACCACGGCGGGCGGGCGGCGCUCCGACACGACAUGUACAAACGGGACAGCCCCACCUCUGCCUCACCAGCUAUCAGCUCAGAAGGCUCGCAGGUGGACGACUCUGAACCCCUCCCCCUCCUGUGGAAGUCUGCGGACAGACAAGCGGUCAAGAACUCGGAGGGUCCGCUGUCCCUGGUAACAACAGCUGGCAACAGGGCAGAAGAAGGGACGUCACUGCCUGUACCAAGUCUCUCACAGACAGAUGACAGUGAUGUGGAGUUUAUAUCUGAGACUCCUGCCACAAACAGUACUACUGACACUCACAAGGAGCAGUCUGAGAAACAGGAGGAUGUGACAAACAGGGGAGGUGUCAGUAAUGAUGGAGGGGUGGUGGACAGCAGUCAGGAGAACACGGCUAUGGAGACACCUGCACAGGAGGACUCAUCCAUCGGAAAGGAGCACAUCAGUCCACAGGCCAGAAGGAUGCCAAGUGUAUCUGCCCCUGAUGAUGAUGAUGAUGAUGUAAUGGCAUCUCCUCCCAGUUCUCCUGACCUGAAGGCAGUGACAGACCUGAUGGAGGAACUGUCUGACUCAGAAAUCAUCUCCGAGGACAGUACAGACCCAUUUGGGCAUCACCACUCUACCUCUCUACCUGAGAUGUCAACCACAAAGAUAUCCUCAGCUGAAGGUGUGACAGCAGAGACAACAAGCGAGGAAGUCACUAACACAGACAGUGGCAGUCUUGGCAAACCAAAUGGGGAACAAGAGAACACAGGCACUGAUAAAGAUGCUGAGAAAUCAGACACAGGAGGAGGAGGGGGGGCACUGAUGGUAUCUCGGGUCCACCCUCUUCAGAGUGGGCUUGUGGGCAGCGUAGAGACUGCUUCAAGGAGCAGCUUGGCUGGACAGCAGAACUGGCCUGCACCGAAGAGCACCAGCUCUGAUUUCCAGGGCAGUGGGACUUCCACACAGAGUGAGAGUGCUGGGAGUGAAGUCGGCAGGCAGGUGAAGGGCACUGCGCUGGUAGCCUGUGUUUCAGUCUCUCCUCAGACCAACCCGACCGCAAGCGGGAACAGUCGGAGUGAGUCGGAGGCGCCAUCGGGGGCGGCUGCGGGGUACAGGUGUAACCACUGCGGGGUGCGCUUCGGGGAUUUCCUGAUGUACAGCAUCCACGGAGGCUUCCACCACCAGGAGAACCCCUUCACCUGUAACAUCUGCAAACACACCGCAACCGACAGGUACCAGUUUAACCUCCACUUCACCUCGGCCAAGCAUGCCCGUCUGAUGGAUAGCUCCCCGCUGGGUGCCAUGGCAGCCAGUCUCGGCGUGCUGUCCCGCGGAGCCCCCGCCCCCAACACCACCCCCGCCCUGACCAACGGGGACCCAGGCUACCACUGUAUCCACUGCAGCAUGACGUUUGAUGACUUCCUGCUGUACAGUAUCCACUCAGGCUUCCACAGCCAGCACCACCCCUUCAUGUGUAACAUCUGUGGACAGGACUGCGAGGACAGGUUCCAGUUUGUCAUGCACUUUGCCAAGUCGGACCACUCUUAGUCUUCACAUAUCACUGAACUUAUGAAGCCUGUAUGGAUACUCUGUCAAAAAAUGGCUGUAUUCAUGCUUCUAAAGCUAGGACACUCAAGGCUAGGGAACCUUCAGGUGGUGCUUGAAUCAGAAAGGCCGUUGUUUUCUUGAUACGAAAAGCAGUUGAACUGUUGAUAUCUCUACAUGUGCCAAACUGUUAGUAUUAAUAUGCAAAGAGCACCUGGUGCUUAGAAUGCAUUUUGAACCAUUCCUCUAAGAUAAGAAUACACUGAUGAGAUCAUGUCAAACUUGUUAAACAAUCAACACAUUGAGAUUUGUGAAACUGUGGAUUGUGGAUAGAACCAUUUUUCUUUCCCUGGAGGACUCUGAAAGUAUUUUUCCAGAAAGAGAGUAAUGUUAGGAAGUGUUCCCUGGUGGAUCCACAAGUUGACAUUCUGAAGAGUAGUAACUUAUAUUGUAUCAUUUAUAAGGUGGAAAAACAAGGAAGAUACUGUGAUUUUUGUACUUAUAAGUGGAUGGGAUUUUCAGCCAUAUUGUAAAGAAACAUUGAUGCCAGUGUGCACCUAACCCUUCCACGUGGAAGUAGAACAUUGUCUCAUACCAGUCUGCUACUGUAGUGGUCAGUUCCCAAAGUUAUGUUUGAAGCAUGAGUGCAAGUGCAGCCAUGCUGUAGUUAUAAGAUGGUCUUCAGGCAGUGAUGGCAGUCUAUUUUGUUGUAACAGGUUAACGUAAUUUUAAACUCAGUUAGAAAUGCAGCUACUGAUUGCUUUGUAUCUUUAUGAACAAGCCAUCAUGUAUAUACUAUUUUUCUAUCAGUUCAUACUAACUUGUAUCAUGUAGUUGAGAUAUUUCUUGAGUUAUGAUUAACAAGUAACAUGAUUAACUGUGCCUUGACAAUAAGUAUCUAACCAUUUUUUGUUACUUUUUGUUAGGAUUAUCUAGUACAGAGCUUUUCAUGUAAGUUAGCUAUCAAUCAUUGUUAAUGUAACCCUAUUAACAGUUAAGCAUUUAAGUUGCGUUAUGUUAUGUUAUCUUAUGUUAUAAUCUUAACAAUGAGCCACAAAAAAAGAGAAGCCAAGAAUAGAUUACAAAAAUGGACUGUGUAUUUUUAUAACUGGUCAGAAGCUGCAGAAUACUGGUUGUCUUCCUCACACAGAAAUGUAAACAUUACAUGAUACAUUCAUUUGGAAAUCUUUAUUGAUAUAGCCGCCCUUUGGCGUAACACACCAGCUUAUGUCCCUCAAUAAGUAAGAGAUAUGUAUAUGUGUCCCUCAAGAAGUAAGAGAUAUAUUUUUGGCCAGAAUAAGAAACUGAGAGUCACCAUUAGAGGGCUGAUGAUUUUUGCUCUAAGGCAAAAGUAAAGAAUUCAUUCACUGUUUAGUUAAAGCACAGCUACGGGUAAUGUUAAUUAAUGCCAGAACUUCAAGAUGCACACUGAAAAGGUACAGGAAAUGUUGCCAAGAAAACAACAGGUUAACAAUUUUGUUACAUCUAUUUUUGAUUGAUUUGUUUAUGGUAGUGAAAGGUAUGUUUAACCAUAGGUAAUGGUCGAAAGUAUAGUAACUUUUUUUUUCAUGCACAGAGGGUAGUUUGAAAGUCAUAGCUCGCUGCAUGUAACAUUACUUUAUUUCUGACUGAAGGUGGCACUAAGGCAUGUGUACUUUCACCUGUCAAUUAGGAACUGUUAUCUAAAUAUCAAGUGUGCAGAAUGUAUGCUGAGUAACACAUUCUACACUACAUGUAUGGUAUACCAGGGGAGACAAAACAUGAGAAAACAACUUUUGCUGUAACUUUGUUUCUUUAUUAUUGUAGCAUAUUAGCUUGUUUCAUACUUUCUUAUCCCUAAGUUUGAUUGUACCUGUAUAUGAAACACCAUGUGGUGGAAAGGACAAAAAGCUAGGUAUUUUUCUGUGGAAGAAAUGUCAAAGAUCUGUAUCACAGAUGCCUUAUCUAGUUGAUAGCACUUUUGUUAAGUUUUGUAAUAAAAGGAUGUU
Branchiostoma belcheri (Belcher's lancelet) is the source of this 12056-nucleotide RNA transcript. RefSeq lists it as uncharacterized. The record is from RefSeq and is a predicted model, not a curated record. The transcript is spliced from 8 exons. NCBI's taxonomy places the organism in Eukaryota, Metazoa, Chordata, Leptocardii, Amphioxiformes, Branchiostomatidae.